GAUGAACGCUGGCGGCGUGCCUAAUACAUGCAAGUCGAGCGAACGGACGAGAAGCUUGCUUUUCUGAUGUUAGCGGCGGACGGGUGAGUAACAUGUGGAUAACCUACCUAUAAGACUGGGAUAACUUCGGGAAACCGGAGCUAAUACCGGAUAAUAUUUUGAAACGCAUGGUUCAAAAGUGAAAGACGGUAUUGCUGUCACUUAUAGAUGGAUCCGCGCUGCAUUAGCUAGUUGGUAAGGUAACGGGUUACCAAGGCAACGAUGCAUAGCCGACCUGAGAGGGUGAUCGGCCACACGGGAACUGAGACACGGUCCAGACUCCUACGGGAGGCAGCAGUAGGGAAUCUUACGCGAUGGGCGAAAGCCUAACGGAGCAACGCCGCGUGAGUGAUGAAGGUCUUCGGAUCGUAAAACUCUGUUAUUAGGGAAGAACAUAUGUGUAAGUAACUGUGCACAUCUUGACGGUACCUAAUCAGAAAGCCACGGCUAACUACGUG
This 497-nucleotide ribosomal RNA is filed under the name uncultured bacterium. RNAcentral describes it as "partial 16S ribosomal RNA". It matches the Rfam family "Bacterial small subunit ribosomal RNA", at positions 28 to 507 of the family's 1533-position model. The record is from RNAcentral.